UACGUAGGUGGCAAGCGUUGUCCGGAAUUAUUGGGCGUAAAGCGCGCGCAGGCGGUCCUUUAAGUCUGAUGUGAAAGCCCACGGCUCAACCGUGGAGGGUCAUUGGAAACUGGGGGACUUGAGUACAGAAGAGAAGAGUGGAAUUCCACGUGUAGCGGUGAAAUGCGUAGAGAUGUGGAGGAACACCAGUGGCGAAGGCGGCUAUCUGGCACACAACUGACGCUGAGGCGCGAAAGCGUGGGGAGCAAACAGG
RNAcentral lists this ribosomal RNA (253 nucleotides) under uncultured bacterium. RNAcentral describes it as "partial 16S ribosomal RNA". It matches the Rfam family "Bacterial small subunit ribosomal RNA", at positions 524 to 776 of the family's 1533-position model. The record is from RNAcentral.